AGUGAACGCUGGCGGUAGGCCUAACACAUGCAAGUCGAACGGCAGCACAGUAAGAGCUUGCUCUUACGGGUGGCGAGUGGCGGACGGGUGAGGAAUACAUCGGACUCUACUUUUUCGUGGGGGAUAACGUAGGGAAACUUACGCUAAUACCGCAUACGACCUACGGGUGAAAGCAGGGGAUCUUCGGACCUUGCGCGAUUGAAUGAGCCGAUGUCGGAUUAGCUAGUUGGCGGGGUAAAGGCCCACCAAGGCGACGAUCCGUAGCUGGUCUGAGAGGAUGAUCAGCCACACUGGAACUGAGACACGGUCCAGACUCCGACGGGAGGCAGCAGUGGGGAAUAUUGGACAAUGGGCGCAAGCCUGAUCCAGCCAUACCGCGUGGGUGAGGAAGGCCUUCGGGUUGUAAAGCCCUUUUGUUGGGAAAGAAAAGCAGCAGGUUAAUACCCCGCUGUUCUGACGGUACCCAAAGAAUAAGCACCGGCUAACUUCGUG
Molecule: ribosomal RNA, 492 nt
Filed under: uncultured bacterium
Lineage: Bacteria
Description: partial 16S ribosomal RNA
Rfam family: Bacterial small subunit ribosomal RNA
Source: RNAcentral